GCCGAAGCGGACAUUGCGCAUGCGCACCCACACAGCCCCGCUGGCCGGAUCCAGGUCUGGGCCCCGCCCUACGCGUUUCCAGCACCGGAGGUCUUAACCCCGCCCUGACUCGAGACGGAGGUUUCCCUAUGUUGCCCAGGCUGCUCUUCAACUCCGGGCCUCAAGCCGUCCUCCUGCUUCAGCCUCCCAAAGUACUGGGAGGUACUGGGAUUACAGCCCAGACACUCCUGUGAACUCCAGGCUCCUACAUCCUGCAUCAUAUUCACCAUUUCCAUGGGAAAGGAUGGAAGAUCUCAGAAGAUUUUUUUUCCUUUUUUUUUUUUUUUUUUGAGACGGAGUCUUGGUCUGUCACCAGGCUGGAGUGCAGUGGCGCGAUCUCGGCUCACUGCAUCCUCCACCUCCGAGGUUCAGCCUCCCGAGUAGCUGGGACUACAGGCAUGCGCAACCACGCCCAGCUAAUUUUUGUAUUUUUUAGUAGAGAUGGGGCUUCACCAUGUUGGCCAGGAUGGUCCCGACCCCUUGACCUCGUGAUCCACCCACCUCGGCCUCCCAAAGUGCCAGGAUUGCAGGCGUGAGCCAAUGCACCCGGCCCUUAGAGACAUUUUAAGCUGUACGUAUUCUAAACUGAGCUGACCUUCCUCCAGAAACUGCUCCCUCACCACCUUCCCCACCUAGGUCAGUGGCAGCUCUGUCCUUCCAGUGACUGAGGCCAAACACUCCUGGGUGGUCCUUCACCUCUCUCCUUCACACCCACUCCAACCUGUCAGCAGAUAUUAUUGGCUCCACUUACAGAAACUAAAGUCUUCCCCUCCACCCCCACCCUGCUCACAGCCUCCAUCCUUUCCCACCUGGACACCCCACAGCCUCCUCCCUGGCCUCCCUGCUCCCUUCUAUCUGCUCCCCGCUGUCUGCAACUCUUGUGGAGCCAGAGGAAGCCUGAGACCACCUGAGUCAGGUCAAGGCCAUACUGGCUCAGAGCCCUGCUCUGGCUGCACCCCACUCCAGGAAAGAGUCAAAAGUUCUCACAACAGGGCCAGGUGCGGUUGCUCAUGCCUGGAAUCCCAGCACUUUGGGAGACUGAGGCAGGAGGAGCGCUUGAACCUAGGAAUUUGAGACCAGCCUGGGCAACAUGGCAAGACCCCAUCUCUACAAAAAAUACCAAAAACUAGCCAGGCAUAGUGGCAUGGGCCCGUAGUCCCAGCUACUCGGGAGGCUGAGGUGGGAGGUUCACUUGAGCCCAGGAGGAAGAGGCUGCAGUGAGCCUUGAUUGCACCACUGCACUCCAGCCUGGGCAGCAGAGCGAACCCUGUCUCAAAAAAAAAAAAAGAGUUCUCAUGACAGCCACCAAGUCCCUAGGGAUCUGUCCCAUCACCUCCCUGCCCUCAUCCCUUCGCCCUGGAGAAAGUAAGAAGAUGCCUGCCUGGCAAGGUCACCUGCAUGUUCCCAGCUGAACACAGACAAAACUCAGCAUGGAGGCCCUGCAAGCACAGCAGCAUCCAAACAGCCUCUCUCAGGGCACACAUGAAGACAUGAGGCCGCUACUGCCUUACCAAGACCUUCUCCAGCCCCAGGUCUGGGGAGCAGAUCUUUCAAGUCUACACAUCUAGUGAUCACGGGAAGGUCCUGUCUUUUAUCACCCGCUCACAUACUGUGUACUUUUUUAAAAUUUUAUUAUUAUUAUUAUUAUUGAGAUGGAGUUUCGUUUUUGUUGCUCAGGCUGGAGUGCAAUGGCAUGGUCUUGGCUCACUGCAACCUCCACCUCCUGGGUUCAAGCGAUUCUCCUGCCUCAGCCUCCCAAGUAGCUGGGAUUACAGGUGUCCACCACCACUUCCGGCUAAUUUGUUUUUAUUUUUAGUAGAGACAAGGUUUCACCAUGUUGGCCAGGCUGGUCUCGAACUCCUGACGUCAGGUGAUCCACCCACCUCAGCCUCCCAAAGUGCUUAGAUUACAGGCAUGAGCCACCAUGCCCAGCCCUGUGUACUUUACAUAUUGAUCCAGAUUUCUGUCUCCUCCGCUAGAAUGUGAGCUUGCCACGGACUGGGGUUUCUAUUUCUUUUUUUUUUUUUUGAGAGAGAGUCUCACUCUGUCCCCUAGGCUGGAGUGCAGUGGCUCAAUCUUGGCUCACUGCAACCUCCACCUCCUGGGUUCAAGCAAUUCUCUGCCUCAGCUUCUCGAGUAGCUGGGAUUACAGGCGGGUGCCACCACGCCUAGCUAAUUUUGGUAUUUUUAGUAGAGAUGGGGUUUCACCAUCUUGGCCAGGCUUGUCUUGAACUCCUGACCUCAGGUGAUCCAUCCGCUUGGCCUCCCAAAGUGCUGGGAUUACAGGUGUGAGCCACCGCGCCCGGCUGGACCGGGAUUUCUAUAUGUCUUGUUCACUGCUAUGUACUCACUCAUAGGUAUGUAUCCAGUUCCUAGAACAGUGGUUGGCACAUCAUAGGUGCCCAGUAAACAUUUGUUGAAUGAAUGAAUAUGUUCUGUGUGUAUUUUCUCAUUGGAUUUUCAGCCCCAGCAGUGAGACAUUAGGGCAAGCAUUACUAAUGCCCUCCGCCAUCUCCCAGGCUCUGCUGGACUCAGGAGUUAUGUGACUUACUUUGGCCAAUAAAACAUGGAAACACCUCGUGCUUGAACAGGCUUGGGAGCGAACCAGGAGCCCGGGAAAGGGACCAGUAGAGAUGCAGGAAAGCAGGAGGACAGGAAGGAGGCCCAGCCGGCUCCAGCCACUAAGGGAGCUCGCUCGCCUCACUUCCACUGCGGCAGAAAGUCAGCUUCAGCGCCUCCCCCGGGACGCUGGUUCCCCGCCUCGGAUUAAGCUCGGCUGUCUGCACCGGAUGCCCGCGCCUGCGCUGCACUGCACCGCCCUUCGCGGAGCGCGGAGCCAAAUGCCUACAUCCCACAAUCCCCCGCAACGCCGGGAGGGGCGAGACCUCAGCUUCCAGCUCUGGGCAAGACCAGGAUGAUUGUCGCGUAGUUUUCUGGGAAAUGCCGUUUGCGUUCCAGGAUGCUUACGCCGCCUUUGAGACUACGCGACCCAUAAUGCACCAGGGGCACAGCGUCUGAACGGUGCGCUGCUGCCCCCUCGUGGCAGAUGGGCGGUCAUUGCCGAGGCUAGGCACGCUAAGGUUGCGGGAUCUGGGAGGCGAGCCCAAGUCCUGGGAACCCCUGGGAAUUCCCUCCCGACCCCAAACUUUGGGCAGGAAAGAUGGGGUGUUGACGGGAAACGGUGAAAGACUUGCGGACAGGGCCCGCUGUGAGGAUUAAAGGAAACCAGCCCAGUAACUGUUGGCUGUAUAUAAUCCUUA
Molecule: long non-coding RNA, 3299 nt
Organism: Symphalangus syndactylus (siamang)
Lineage: Eukaryota; Metazoa; Chordata; Mammalia; Primates; Hylobatidae
Source: RefSeq, a predicted model, not a curated record